Molecule: ribosomal RNA, 447 nt
Filed under: uncultured bacterium
Lineage: Bacteria
Description: partial 16S ribosomal RNA
Rfam family: Bacterial small subunit ribosomal RNA
Source: RNAcentral
AGCGAACGCUGGCGGCAGGCUUAACACAUGCAAGUCGAACGCCCCGCAAGGGGAGUGGCAGACGGGUGAGUAACACGUGGGAACGUACACUUUGGCUCGGAAUAACUUGGGGAAACUCAAGCUAAUACCGGAUAAGCCCUUAUGGGGAAGGGGUCACUGCAGAAGGAUCGGCCCGCGUCUGUUUAGCUAGUGUGUGAGGUAAUGGCUCACCAAGGCGACGAUCAGUAGCUGGUCUGAGAGGAUGAUCAGCCCGACUGGGACUGAGACACAGCCCAGGCUCCUACAGGAGGGAGCAGUGGGGAAUAUUGGACAAUGGGGGCGACCCUGAUCCAGCCAUGCCGCGUGAGUGAUGAAGGCCUUAGGGUUGUAACGCUCUUUUACCAGGGACGAUAAUGACUGUACCGGGAGAAUAAGCCCCGGCUAACUUCGUGCCAGCCGCCGCAGUAA